GGCUCUUGUUCUCUGUGGCUGAGGUGCCAGGGAAGGCCGGUUCCGGGCUUCGAGGGAAAGCCUCCCAGGGGCUGUGAGGAUCGUGGACGUGGCCGUGUACUUCUCCCGGGAGGAGUGGGGGUGUCUGCGGCCCGCACGGAGGGUCCUGAACCUGCACGUGACAUAGGAAACCUACAGCCACCUGGGCGCGCUAGGUGAGGCCCAGCAGCCUGGCCAGGACUCUAAUAUGUGGGAAGCAGGGACUGAUGCGCCCAGAGGUGGUGGGGUUGGAAGUGUGGAGCACUGAGCAAGGGGCCUCAGCUGUCUUUUUGGUGUUCGGCCCAGCCCAGUAUUUCCUUUUCGGAGGAUUUUCAGGCCCCGGACCCGCCUUUAUCUCUUGGGUGGAAGUGAAAGGAUGAAAAUGCAACCCAACCCUCCCAGAACCCAGGAAGUUAAUAAAAAGCUCUAAAUGCCCCCGAAUUCCAGACCCUGUUUCCUGCCAGCAAAUAGGUAGAAGGUCACACUUCUUGCUGUUCCAGGGCCUGCUAUCCUGGCCUAAGUAAGAUAACAGGAAAUGAGUUGACUAAUCGCUUAUCUGGAUUCUGUAAAACUGACUAGCGCCAUAGAAGAAUUGAUUACACAUUGAAAGCCCUAGUGACUUAUCUCAACUGCAAUCUGUCACUCUGCCGAGGAGCCCACGCAAAUGCGGACCUCCGGAGCUGUUUUAAAAUGAUUGGUCCACGGAGCGCGGGCUCUCGAUGUUUUAAAAUGAUUGGUUUGCAAAGCACGGGCUUUGUUCCUGGGAACCUCCAUAUGCCGAGGGAGCGGCCCAAGAAAUAGCAGCAACAACAACAACAACAACAACAACAGCAAAGAGGAAUGCUGCUUUUAUGUGGAUCAUUCUGAGCUAUCAGGGACUCUAUGAACAAGCUCAGAAAAAGGUUAGAAAAACAUCACAAAGAAAAGAGGCUGGCCAAGGAUGGUUUGAGGGAUGGUUCAACAAGUCCCCAUGGGUGACCACCCUGCUGUCUGCUCUGAUAGGACCCCUAGUGAUAACUGCUCCUGUUGCUUACAGUUGGGCCUUGCUUAAUUAAUCAGUUUGUUGCCUUUGUCAGAGAACGAGUGAGUGCAGUUCAGAUCAUGGUACUUAGACAGCAGUACCAAGGCCUUCCGAGCCAAGGAGAAACUGACCUUUAGCCUUCCCAGUUCUAAGAUUAGAACUAUUAACAAGAGAAGAAGUGGGGAAUGAAAGGAUGAAAAUGCAACCUAACCCUCCCAGAACCCAGGAAGUUAAUAAAAAGCUCUAAAUGCCCCCGAAUUCCAGACACUGUUCCCUGCCAGCAAAUAGGUAGAAGGUCACACUUCUUGCUGUUCCAGGGCCUGCCUUCUGUAUGAAACUAGAUGAAAGAACGUAAAAUAGGCCCUGGAAUGCGUGACCCUGGCCUAAGUAAGACAACAGGAAAUGAGCUGACUAAUCGCUUAUCUGGAUUCUGUAAAACUGACUAGCGCCAUAGAAGAAUUGAUUACACAUUGAAAGCCCUAGUGACCUAUCUCAACUGCAAUCUGUCACUCUGCCCAGGAGCCCGCGCAAAUGCGGACCUCCGGAGCUGUUUUAAAAUGAUUGGUUUGCGAAGCACGGGCUUUGCUGUGAACCCCAUAAAAUCUGUCCCGAUUCCGCACUCGGGGCCGCAGUCCUCUACCCCUGCGUGGCAUACGACUGUGGGCCCCAGUGCGCUUGGAAUAAAAAUCCUCUUGCUGUUUGCA
RNAcentral lists this long non-coding RNA (1743 nucleotides) under Sus scrofa (pig). RNAcentral describes it as "lncRNA (ENSSSCG00035070278.1, ENSSSCG00160006592.1, ENSSSCG00175039006.1)". Lineage: Eukaryota; Metazoa; Chordata; Mammalia; Artiodactyla; Suidae. The record is from RNAcentral.